CGCCUCACACGGACGUUCCAAAUAUGGGGGAAAGGGGCGAGACUGGACCGGACUGGAUCUUCCCUUUUUUCUUUUUCCACUCCCAUGGUUUACGCCCUCCGAUGAUCCCUGAACCCGCUCGUUAUUAUUUGAAUUUGUCCUGCAGCUUCGCAAGAUUUGGCUCUUGCUAACGGAUUAAAUCCAAAGUUGUAUCUGUCUCUGCUUCAACCUCAGCGUUUCCUAAAGUUUAUUGUUGAGUUGAAAAUACUUAUCAAACAUGUUCGAUGCCUCCUCUGCUGAAAGUCCCAAAAAAAUUUGGAUCAUUGGAGAUAGCCAUGUCCGCCGAGCAUCAGAAAGGGCAUCUCAGCUAAACACCAGCACCGACUUGGGAUUGCCAGGGAUCCACGUCUCCUGGUUUGGUUGGGGGGGACUGCGUUGGAGUGGCCUCUUACCUUUCCUUUCCUCCAUUCUACAAGGAAGAGGGGCUCCUGACUUUCUCAUCAUUCACUGUGGGGGGAAUGACAUGGGCCAAGUCAGGAGUGUGGAACUGGUUACCAUGAUGAAAGAAGACAUCCAGCAGCUGCAUGAUGUUCAUCCCAACACAAAAAUUGUUUUUUCUUUACUUCCACAGAGGGUGAAGUGGAGAAGUUGUGCUCAUCCAGCAAAAAUGGAGAAGGCUAGAAGGUUUGUGAACAAUGUCAUGGCUACAUUUAUUUCAAAUUUGAACAACUUUUUUAUUGAUAAUCGGAGCAUCAAAUAUGACAGCCCUGGUCUAUUUUUGAAAGACGGAGUUCAUUUCUCACCUAGUGGGAAUGAUGUUUUUUUAAUGAACUUGUCUUCUUUUCUUAAAGAACACAUUUCUACCCACUGAAAUUCUUACUGGAAUUUCCAGUGGAUAAAAAUGUCCUCUUUAAGAUCAUUUAUUAAGUGCUUACUCUCUCAAAAAAAGGCAGGGUUGUCAUGGGUGAUGUUAUACCCAUGACAUUGUUCACCAAAAACGUUCCUUCUUUUAUUUAUUUUAAGUUGUAUUUUUCUCAAUAUGUAAAUAUAAAACUAUUACAUCAAACCUUUACUCUUGUGCUAUCCUUGGCAUGUUUAAAUUAAAAGUGGUGUCAUCUGGACCCCACGAGACAGUGACCUGAACUAUUUUUUAAUGCUCUUUUAAUGAAUAUUUGAAUCUGUAAUUUGAAUCUGUAAAUACAUCUUGUGCA
Molecule: long non-coding RNA, 1190 nt
Organism: Oryzias melastigma (Indian medaka)
Lineage: Eukaryota; Metazoa; Chordata; Actinopteri; Beloniformes; Adrianichthyidae
Exons: 3
Source: RefSeq, a predicted model, not a curated record